AUGGAUGUUUUCCGACUGGAGUCUCGCGUUGCAGCUGUCGUGGACUAUCUCGCAAGGCUGAAGGCCGCCACAUCUCGCAUCGACUCGACGCUCUGGCCUGAGGAGACACUUCAGAAUGACCUUGAGUCAUUAAUGGCCCGCUUGAACACGAUCCCUGGUCGAGUGCAGGAAUGGAAGAAGUCCUCGGCUCGGUGUGGUGCAGAUGUCGCUCUGUGUCUGGCCCGAGUCCACUGCAAAGAUGCACGAGAGGAGAAGCUGGCGGCUCUUCGGGUGGCCAAUACCAAGAAGCACGACUUCAGGUCUUUUAUGGAGACUUUCCUUGCAGCUGCCACUCGGAUCGCCGACGGGAUUGACCUUGAUGAAUUUGUUGCACCUUCCAGCCCUCCACAGGAGGGGUAA
This 399-nucleotide ribosomal RNA is filed under the name Triticum aestivum (bread wheat). RNAcentral's name for it is "partial small subunit ribosomal RNA". The record is from RNAcentral. Lineage: Eukaryota; Viridiplantae; Streptophyta; Magnoliopsida; Poales; Poaceae.